Molecule: transfer RNA, 63 nt
Filed under: Ixodes confusus
Lineage: Eukaryota; Metazoa; Arthropoda; Arachnida; Ixodida; Ixodidae
Description: tRNA-Asn
Source: RNAcentral
UUAAUAGAAGCCAAAACUAGAGGCUAUUCACUGUUAAUGAAUUUAUUGUAAAUACCUAUUAAA